UGGGGAAUAUUGGACAAUGGGCGAAAGCCUGAUCCAGCCAUGCCGCGUGUGUGAAGAAGGUCUUCGGAUUGUAAAGCACUUUAAGUUGGGAGGAAGGGUUGUAGAUUAAUACUCUGCAAUUUUGACGUUACCGACAGAAUAAGCACCGGCUAACUCUGUGCCAGCAGCCGCGGUAAUACAGAGGGUGCAAGCGUUAAUCGGAAUUACUGGGCGUAAAGCGCGCGUAGGUGGUGUGUUAAGUUGGAUGUGAAAGCCCCGGGCUCAACCUGGGAACUGCAUCCAAAACUGGCAAGCUAGAGUACGGUAGAGGGUGGUGGAAUUUCCUGUGUAGCGGUGAAAUGCGUAGAUAUAGGAAGGAACACCAGUGGCGAAGGCGACCACCUGGACUGAUACUGACACUGAGGUGCGAAAGCGUGGGGAGCAAACA
RNAcentral lists this ribosomal RNA (427 nucleotides) under uncultured bacterium. RNAcentral describes it as "partial 16S ribosomal RNA". It matches the Rfam family "Bacterial small subunit ribosomal RNA", at positions 355 to 774 of the family's 1533-position model. The record is from RNAcentral.